This 67-nucleotide transfer RNA is filed under the name Blattella vaga (field cockroach). RNAcentral's name for it is "tRNA-Phe". Lineage: Eukaryota; Metazoa; Arthropoda; Insecta; Blattodea; Blattellidae. The record is from RNAcentral.
AUUCAUAUAGCUUAUAAAUUAGAGCAUAGUAUUGAAGAUACUAAGGAGAUUAUAAAAUCUUUGAAUA